UUCGCAAUGCCCGAAAGGGUGAACGAGCGACGCCGCGUGCGGGAUGAAGGGUUUCGGCUUGUAAACCGCUUUUCUUUGGGAAGAAGGUCUGUCUCGUGCAGAUGGGCUCGACGGUACCAGAGGAAUAAGCCUCGGCUAACUCCGUGCCAGCAGCCGCGGUAAGACGGAGGAGGCAAGCGUUGUUCGGAAUCACUGGGCAUAAAGAGCACGUAGGCGGUUGAGCAAGUCCAUUGUGAAAUCCCCCGGCUUAACCGGGGAACUGCAGUGGAUACUACUUGACUUGAGUGCAGGAGGGGAGAGUGGAAUUCCAGGUGGAGCGGUGAAAUGCGUAGAUAUCUGGAGGAACGCCGGUGGCGAAAGCGACUCUCUGGUCUGCAACUGACGCUGAGGUGCGAAAGCUAGGGGAGCAAACGGGAUUAGAUACCCCGGUAGUCCUAGCCCUAAACGAUGGGCACUAAGUAGAGGGGUUUU
This 471-nucleotide ribosomal RNA is filed under the name uncultured bacterium. RNAcentral describes it as "bacterial SSU rRNA". It matches the Rfam family "Bacterial small subunit ribosomal RNA", at positions 364 to 832 of the family's 1533-position model. The record is from RNAcentral.